RNAcentral lists this long non-coding RNA (1012 nucleotides) under Junco hyemalis (dark-eyed junco). Its description in RNAcentral is "lncRNA (ENSJHYG00000015871.1)". The record is from RNAcentral. Lineage: Eukaryota; Metazoa; Chordata; Aves; Passeriformes; Passerellidae.
GGGCAUCCCCUGAGACAACCUGGACACCCCCUGAGAGCCUGGGGGCACCCCCUGGGCACCCCCUGGGCACCCGGGAGUACCUGGGGACCCCCCCUGUGCCAGCCUGGGGACGCCGGUGUCACCCUCUGAGCCCCUGUGCCACCCUGGGGUCACCACUGCCACCCCCCGUGCCAGCCUGCGGACCCACCUGUCCCCCUGUGCCACCCCGAGGGCACCGCGGGGGUUGGUGCCAAUAAAGGUGCCAAGGAGCCGCUGCGGUGUCCCCUGGUGUCCCUUGGGGCCGGGCUGGGCGCGGUGCCAGGCGGGUGACAGGGACGCUGCUGUGGGCAAAGGUGCCAGGGCAGUGCCAGGGCAGUGCCCCCUUAUCUGUGCCCCCUUAUCUGUGCCCCCUUAUCUGUGCCCCCUGAUUGUCCCCAAGGCCACCGGGGCCAUAAACAGCGGGACAAGGACACCCAGGGGUGGCACCUCUGGGGGCACUGCAGGGACUGGCACAGGCUGGGGGGGGGCGGGUGUGGCACUGCCCCGCCCUGGUGACAUCGGGGACAGGCGGGCACCGAGCGGGGACAGAGGGCACCGGGUGGCACUGGCACACUGGGAUGGCACAGCACUGGCACACAGGGAUGGCACCAGGAUGGCACUGUCACACAGGGAUGGCACAGCACUGUCACACAGGGGUGGCACAGCACUGGCACACGGGGAUGGCACCAGGAUGGCACUGGCACACAGGGGUGGCACUGGCACACGGGGAUGGCACUGGCACACGGGGAUGGCACCAGGAUGGCACUGGCACACGGGGAUGGCACAGCACUGGCACACGAGGCUGGCACGACGCUGUCACAUGGGAUGGCACCAGGAUGGCACUGCCGCUAUCAGGAUGGCACUGUCGUACAAGGCGUGGCACUGGUACUGCCGGGAUGUCACCGGGACAGAGGGCACCGUGCUGACCCUGGCACCACCAGGACGGCGCCACGAUGGCUUUGGCACCGCCGGGAUGGCACCAGGGUGGCCCUGG